UUUCUACUCUCUCCGUCCAACAAAGGAUGUCUCAACUUUCACUAAAUUUGAAUCCAUCUAUACACUAAGUCAUGUCUAGAUACAUCCAAAUUUUGAAAACUUGAGACAUCUUUUGUUGGACGGAGGGAGUAUUUA
Non-coding RNA from Brachypodium distachyon (stiff brome), 135 nucleotides. The record is from Rfam. NCBI's taxonomy places the organism in Eukaryota, Viridiplantae, Streptophyta, Magnoliopsida, Poales, Poaceae.